RNAcentral lists this long non-coding RNA (2048 nucleotides) under Equus asinus (donkey). RNAcentral's name for it is "lncRNA (ENSEASG00005024659.1)". The record is from RNAcentral. Lineage: Eukaryota; Metazoa; Chordata; Mammalia; Perissodactyla; Equidae.
AAAAAGUCAUUAAAUGAUUUCAGUGCAGAUGGGGUCUGGUUAUUGUGCGGUCAUAUAACUUUAGAUACGAAUCUGGCCAUAUAGAUCGGCAUGUAGGCGAGGAUGCCCCGGGCUUCUCUCCCUGGGGCGGUCCUAAUUCAUACCAUAAAAAAAGUCCACUGGGUCAUAUAGUUUGGCAUGUAGGCCAGGUCACCUUGGGCUUCUCUAGCUGGGGCAGCCUUAAUCCACAUCACCCGUAGAGCUGGGGUGCAGCACUCCCCCCCCCCACCCCGGUUCAUGGAUGUGCUCACUCACCUGGAAGCUUCCCCAACCCCCUACUCUUGGGCUUUUAAUAGAGGCUUCCUCAUGUAGCCAUGAUCAGUUAUUGGCUCCAUUUCCAGCCCCUAUCCCCUCUCCAUGAGAAGGGGAGAGUGGAGCAGUGCUGAAAAUUCCAAGCUUCUAAUUAUGGCUUGGUCUUUCUGGUGACCACCCUCCAUCCAGGAGCCCACCAGAGUCGCCUCAUUGGACAAAAGAUGCUCCCAGUACUCUUAUCACUUAGGGAUUUACAGGGGUCUUAGGAGCUCUGUGCCAGGAACCAGGGGCAGAGACCAAUAUAUAUAUUCUCUGUUAUCUCACAUUUGUGCACUUGGUGUGCACACACAUAUCUUUUUCUCCCGUUAGACUAUAACUCAGUGCUUCUCAGCCUCAGCACUCUUCGUAUUUUGGACCAAAUACUUCUUUGUUGUGGGGGGAGGGGAGGCCGUUCUGUGCUUUGCAGGAUUUUUUAGGAGAAUCCUUGCCCUCUACCCACCAGACGCCAGCAGCACACCCCUCUCAAGUUGUGACAAUCAAAGAUAUCUCCAGACUUUGCUAAACGUCCCCUGGUGGAAAAAAAUCACUCCCUCACCCCCUGCAGUUGAGAAGCACCGCUAGGCUCCUCGAGGUCGGAGGCCACGUCUUGUAAAUUCCUGUAUCCCCUAAAAUGCAUCGCACAUAGAUGCUGCCACAGGUAGGCUUGAUAAGCAGCGUGUAUGUCCGCACCCGGGAUCCGAACCCACAAAACCUGAGCCGGCAAAGCAGAUCAUGUGAACUUAACCACUACGCCACAGGGCCAGCCCUGCCAUUGCUUUUAAAUACAAAGAAAAACAUCAACUCAUGAAAAAAAAGCCAGACAUUGUCCAUCUGCCUACAGAAUUUGCAUAGGCGAACCACAUGUCUAAGAUUUAUUGAGUCUCCACAGAAACCAGUUUAAGAUGACGAGCACAUCCAAUAUUUGCAGAGCGUCCAGUUGCUCACACAGCACGGUCACGUCCCUCUGCCCCGCACCGAGGUGCUAAUCGGGAUAAUUCUUCAGCCAUGAGCAGCUCAGAGGAGUGUCAUGUUUUUUGGAAUGGUGGCAGCUUCUACCAGGGCUGACCUAGGAGAUGCUGGGCCCAAGUCUGGCUGGAAGAAAUCACGGGGAGAGAAUGUCUUAGCAGUUCUGCUCCGGUGGGUUUGAGAAAGAGGCGGAAGACUGACCUUUUCUGAAGGCGGCGUUGGAGAGUCGGUGUGGCCUUGAGAAAUACACACGGCCAGAAAUGGUGUGAUCCUGCUCCAAACAGCUGGGCUCACCCUUGGGCUUCAUGAACCUCACACAGGAGGUUUCAACUGAAGUAAACUUAUGACCUUUCCAUCAGUUCCCUUGAUAGAGUCUGUGCACUCUGUGAUCACUGUAAGAAUGAAGGAUGAGCCCGCACUUCUUUCCACUCGUAAAGGCCACAGCAUUAGCUUCAUCCUACCACACCGCUUCACAUUCUUCCGACUUUCAAGAGCUCCACUGAUGGAAGAGGGAACUGACCCGUGAGGAAAGCAACAGUCAUCUCAUCCAUCCUCAUUCAUCUCAAAUAUGUUAAAUGUUUGGUACUUUUUCUUAUAAACUGUUUCUCUCCAUCAUCUUGUAUUCUAUGUUCUUGUCUUGAGACUUCUCCCAUUAAACCAUCAUUUAGUAUACUGUUUUCUUCGUCUCAACUUCUUCAGAAGUCUAAUAAGCACCAAGAAGAGAGUAUCCAUAAGAUUAGUAUUUCAACCCC